GGAGAGGUCGCAUAGUUGGUCUAGUGCGUUCGCUUGGAAAGCGGAUAUUGUCGUAAGGCAAUCGCGGGUUCGAAUCCCGCCCUCUCCG
Molecule: transfer RNA, 88 nt
Filed under: Candidatus Levybacteria bacterium RIFCSPHIGHO2_01_FULL_36_15b
Lineage: Bacteria; Candidatus Levyibacteriota
Also listed under: 1 other name
Description: tRNA-Ser
Rfam family: tRNA
About the family: Transfer RNA (tRNA) molecules are approximately 80 nucleotides in length. Their secondary structure includes four short double-helical elements and three loops (D, anti-codon, and T loops). Further hydrogen bonds mediate the characteristic L-shaped molecular structure. tRNAs have two regions of fundamental functional importance: the anti-codon, which is responsible for specific mRNA codon recognition, and the 3' end, to which the tRNAs corresponding amino acid is attached (by aminoacyl-tRNA synthetases). tRNAs cope with the degeneracy of the genetic code in two manners: having more than one tRNA (with a specific anti-codon) for a particular amino acid; and 'wobble' base-pairing, i.e. permitting non-standard base-pairing at the 3rd anti-codon position.
Source: RNAcentral